This 258-nucleotide unclassified non-coding RNA is filed under the name Glomeraceae sp. RNAcentral describes it as "partial contains 5.8S ribosomal RNA and internal transcribed spacer 2". The stretch from base 1 to 71 matches the Rfam family "5.8S ribosomal RNA", at positions 84 to 154 of the family's 154-position model. The record is from RNAcentral. Lineage: Eukaryota; Fungi; Glomeromycota; Glomeromycetes; Glomerales; Glomeraceae.
GUGAAUCAUCAAAUUUUUGAACGCAAAUUGCACUCUCUGGUAUUCCGGAGAGUAUGCCUGUUUGAGGGUCAGUUUAAAUAAAAAUCGGUGUGGUUGCUGCCUUUCGUGGUGACGCACCGGAUUUGGGUCGUCUUGCCUUCGGUUAAGUGACCUACAAUUUUGCAUGCUUUUUUCGAAUGUAUUUAAAUGAUUUUACGUACGUUUGCGAUAUCGAAUACUAGGUGAGGUCAUCAUCAUGGUUCAACCUUAUAAUUUUUA